This 100-nucleotide transfer RNA is filed under the name Virgisporangium aurantiacum. RNAcentral's name for it is "tRNA-Gly". Lineage: Bacteria; Bacillati; Actinomycetota; Actinomycetes; Micromonosporales; Micromonosporaceae. The record is from RNAcentral.
UCUCGCCAGCGGCUGGACGGAGUCGAGCAGGACGGCCGCCGCUCGGUCCGGCCCGCCGGCGGCAAGGAGGUCGGCCGGAUCGCGGCCGGCGGGCAGGAUC